GGGCCGUUAGCUCAGUUGGUAGAGCAGGAGACUCUUAAUCUCUUGGUCGAGCGUUCGAGUCGCUCACGGCCCACCA
This 76-nucleotide transfer RNA is filed under the name hydrothermal vent metagenome. RNAcentral describes it as "tRNA-Lys-CTT". It matches the Rfam family "tRNA". Rfam says of the family: Transfer RNA (tRNA) molecules are approximately 80 nucleotides in length. The record is from RNAcentral.